GCAGACUAGAGUGCAGUAGGGGAGACUGGAAUUCCUGGUGUAGCGGUGGAAUGCGCAGAUAUCAGGAGGAACACCGAUGGCGAAGGCAGGUCUCUGGGCUGUAACUGACGCUGAGGAGCGAAAGCAUGGGGAGCGAACAGGAUUAGAUACCCUGGUAGUCCAUGCCGUAAACGUUGGGCACUAGGUGUGGGGACCAUUCCACGGUUUCCGCGCCGCAGCUAACGCAUUAAGUGCCCCGCCUGGGGAGUACGGCCGCAAGGCUAAAACUCAAAGGAAUUGACGGGGGCCCGCACAAGCGGCGGAGCAUGCGGAUUAAUUCGAUGCAACGCGAAGAACCUUACCAAGGCUUGACAUGUUCUCGAUCGCCGUAGAGAUACGGUUUCCCCUUUGGGGCGGGAUCACAGGUGGUGCAUGGUUGUCGUCAGCUCGUGUCGUGAGAUGUUGGGUUAAGUCCCGCAACGAGCGCAACCCUCGUUCCAUGUUGCCAGCACGUAAUGGUGGGGACUCAUGGGAGACUGCCGGGGUCAACUCGGAGGAAGGUGGGGACGACGUCAAAUCAUCAUGCCCCUUAUGUCUUGGGCUUCACGCAUGCUACAAUGGCCGGUACAAUGGGUUGCGAUACUGUGAGGUGGAGCUAAUCCCAAAAAGCCGGUCUCAGUUCGGAUUGGGGUCUGCAACUCGACCCCAUGAAGUCGGAGUCGCUAGUAAUCGCAGAUCAGCAACGCUGCGGUGAAUACGUUCCCGGGCCUUGUACACACCGCCCGUCAAGUCACGAAAGUCGGUAACACCCGAAGCCGG
This 798-nucleotide ribosomal RNA is filed under the name unidentified microorganism. RNAcentral's name for it is "bacterial SSU rRNA". It matches the Rfam family "Bacterial small subunit ribosomal RNA", at positions 636 to 1430 of the family's 1533-position model. The record is from RNAcentral.